AGUCGAGCGGUAACAGGAGUAGCUUGCUACUCGCUGACGAGCGGCGGACGGGUGAGUAACGCGUAGGAAUCUGCCUGAUAGUUGGGGAUAGCCCGGGGAAACCCGGAUUAAUACCGAAUACGCUCUACGGAGGAAAGCAGGGGAUCUUCGGACCUUGCGCUAUCAGAUGAGCCUGCGUGAGAUUAGCUAGUUGGUGAGGUAAUGGCUCACCAAGGCGACGAUCUCUAGCUGGUCUGAGAGGAUGAUCAGCCACACUGGGACUGAGACACGGCCCAGACUCCUACGGGAGGCAGCAGUGGGGAAUAUUGGACAAUGGGGGCAACCCUGAUCCAGCCAUGCCGCGUGUGUGAAGAAGGCCUUAGGGUUGUAAAGCACUUUCAGGAGUGAGGAAGGGUGUACGGUUAAUACCCGUAUAUUUUGACGUUAACUCCAGAAGAAGCACCGGCUAACUCUGUGCCAGCAGCCGCGGUAAUACAGAGGGUGCGAGCGUUAAUCGGAAUUACUGGGCGUAAAGCGCGCGUAGGCGGUUUGUUAAGUCGGAUGUGAAAUCCCAGGGCUCAACCUUGGAAUGGCAC
RNAcentral lists this ribosomal RNA (575 nucleotides) under uncultured Oceanospirillaceae bacterium. RNAcentral describes it as "bacterial SSU rRNA". It matches the Rfam family "Bacterial small subunit ribosomal RNA", at positions 60 to 626 of the family's 1533-position model. Lineage: Bacteria; Pseudomonadati; Pseudomonadota; Gammaproteobacteria; Oceanospirillales; Oceanospirillaceae. The record is from RNAcentral.